AAAUGCAGCAUUAAAACAUUUUUUUAAUAAAAAAAAUAAAAAGAUUUUUUUUUCUCGUAAUGAAAACUUUUAAGAUCUCUUCGCGCCUUUCAGAUGCAAUGCGGUAUGUUAACUGUAGUCCCCACACCGUGCCUUGCAUCCCCAGGACUUAUUUAGUUUACGGCUGGGAGUUUGUAUUUUUAACUCCUCUUCUCCCAUCACCCCUCCUCCCCCUCCCCACCCCCAUAGGGUUGUGUUUUAUAACGUAACGUGAAGGAGAGUAAGAAAGCCAAAGCCAGGGAACCCAGCAUGGGCCCGGCCCGGGCCUGGCUCACCCACCAGAGUCACUGAAGCGGCAAAUGGGGACGCAGACUGCCAGGCUCCCAGCGGCACCGCUGUGACGCCACGGGAAAGAAUUCCAACCAAUAAAUGUGGGAGUGAUGGGCUUGAGGACCACCAUUUGGCAAAUGCCAGGGUAGAAACUGUUUCCGGGCUGAGACUGAUCGAACUUGGCCCUUGAAAGGAGAUCACCUUCCAGAGCUCCCAGCUUGGCGGAGGAGGCAGACCCAACAGCCAGUGAUCCCAGCGCAGCCUCAGCAGGUGAAUCUUAGAGAGGCGCCGAUGAGGAUUCUGGCCCCACUACCUCUCGCGCUCUUGGAACCCAUUCAAGGCCAGCUAUCCCAUCACGUCUUUGAAUGUUCGAAGGCCAGCGUCAGCUGAGCCCAUGUCCCACUUAGGCCAACUCCACACUGCUGCUGCCUGAAUUCGUGAGGGUCCUGCCUGCCCAUCUCCCUGAUGGAUCAGUUCUGCCGGCGCCGGGGACUGUAUGAGCAGAUUCUCCGUGGCUUGGGUUUGCUGCUGUGUCUCCCCUGCGUUGAACCCCAGAAACCACUUCCUUCUGUUAUUGAUGGUCUCCACGAGGCCCAGAGGUGGCUCUGUUAAAAUAUCGUCUCCUCCAGGGACACUCCGGGACCAGAGUGCUUGAGGCACGCGUCAGGUAGGAUGGGGGGAUCAGGACGGUUCUCCGCGCUCGUGUAAGGGAAGGAAGAAAUCAAGGAAGUGAUAGAACAGACAUUGUGGCCUUCCUCUGUGUGGCCCGGUGGGGCCACGUCUGCUGCUGGGAGGGGCCGGCUUGCUUCCCGAGCCCGCUGUUCCCCAGGGGGAGGAAGGUGCCACUCCCCCAGACUCUGAAGGACAAAGAUGGACAGCUGGCUCUAAGGGGCGCCUGGGUGGCUCAGUCGGUUGGGCGUCCGACUUCGGCUCAGGUCACGA
Molecule: long non-coding RNA, 1251 nt
Organism: Herpailurus yagouaroundi (jaguarundi)
Lineage: Eukaryota; Metazoa; Chordata; Mammalia; Carnivora; Felidae
Exons: 4
Source: RefSeq, a predicted model, not a curated record